This 1115-nucleotide unclassified non-coding RNA is filed under the name Hevea brasiliensis (rubber tree). Lineage: Eukaryota; Viridiplantae; Streptophyta; Magnoliopsida; Malpighiales; Euphorbiaceae. The record is from RNAcentral.
GUGGUCCAAUAAAAUUCAUUUCCUCGCUAAUAGACUAAUGGAAUAUUUACAUUCAUCCUGAUUUACAAAACAUUCACAAGGGACGAGAUGCGAGUUUAAAUUUUGGGAAUUGGAGCACACAAAAGGCAAUAAAGAUCAAACAAUACCAUGUAUUUCAGUUGGUCUAACAAAAAUAGUCAUCAUUCUUCCCUUUUUAUAAUUUUUCGGUUAUUCUCUUUUGUCAUCGGGAUGCCAGCGACCAAAAAUUCAGGAGAAAAGAAGGUAAUGCAGCAAACCAGCUAAUGAAAGCCAUGGCUGUAGCAGUUUCAAACUGCACACAAUGAUUCUCAGAACAGUUGCCAAGAUCAUUAUCAAUAAGGACUGUGAUGCCAGCAGAAGCACAAGCUGCAGCAAACGUAAGAGUGGAUGUGAUCCCAUCACCAAUAGCAAACAAGCUGACAACUUGAUAGUUUUGCAAGAAGCGCAUCACCAAGAGAGCAUAAAUGUCCACAAUAGCUAAGGUGAGGCUCCACAAACACUGCAAACCAGCAGCCGCAACAAGGAUAGCGGAAAGCAGUAACGGAAGGGAAGUCACUCGUGGAGGCCAUGACAGCAAGUGCUGCAGCCGCAAAGAAAAACUGAAAGACACGCAACACAAGGCCGCCUUUCGUGCCAGGCAUUCCUUGUAUAUCCUUCAUCCUAACUAUUGGCGCGUUGUUGUUAUUGUUUCCACCUCCCGUCGUCGGAGGAUCUUCCACCGGAUGAACAGACGCAUGGCUCACAUUCAUCUCUCCACCCAAGCCGGGCACACCCCUUAAUUCAUUGAUUUGUCUUCUGUUGCAUUAGUUAUUUGAGUAAUUUCACUUAAUAGUGAGAAAAAGAUAACAAUCGCAUGGGACAAUAACGGAAAGCUCUCAAUUUCGGCGGGCGAUUCUAUUGGGACAAAUCUCGAUGGAUCUACAAACUCUCCGAUAGAAGAAGGAUCUACAAACUCUACUAACAGGCGUCUCUUUCUUCCCCUUUCUAAUGGAAGCAAAGAUGAGUUUGCAAAUAAUGGUCAAUUAACACUAAUCGCCACAUAAUUCAUUUUUAAUAAAUUAUUUGUAAAUUCAUUGGACACUCCCUCAACCUCCUGC